This 1148-nucleotide long non-coding RNA is filed under the name Homo sapiens (human). Its description in RNAcentral is "non-protein coding lnc-ESRP1-2:8". The record is from RNAcentral. Lineage: Eukaryota; Metazoa; Chordata; Mammalia; Primates; Hominidae.
GCGAAGUGCGGAGACGGGGUUUUGGAGACGGUGGAUGGAGGAGGGGGAGGGAAAGCUGCCAACUUUGGAUACCAACCCCGUACACCCACCGAAGGGGAUGUCCCACUUUUUCCAGCGCUGGGAGCAAAAAGAUAACAGUGAGCGAGGUUGAAAAAUUAUAAAGUAUCCCAGGACAGUGCUCUGUAACCAGCCCAUAGUAGCUACUGCUAUUUUACCAGCUACUGUAUCUUUCCUUCUUUGAUUUCCAGCACCUGACAGUGAAAAGAGCAAUUUGAAGAAAAACAAAAUUUAUCUUCAAUGUGAAAAGCAAUUUAUAAAAAUCCGAAUACUUGCCAGGAGCAACUUGACAAAAAAGACAAAGGUGGUAGAAGAAAUGUAACCAGCCCACAAUUCCAAUGUUGAUAACAGAUGAGCUCCCUUUCAAGGUGACUGACAUUUACACAAGUACACAGAGCAAGAAGAAGGUCUGAGUGAACUGCCAAGCAUUUUAACUUCUCCUGAGACCAAGUACAUCAACAGUUCUCUUGGAAAAGAACAACUGAUUUGGGAGUCUAGCAGACUGCCAGCUGCAAGACAUUCAUCCAGCAUCAGGAACACAAUGGGCCUUCAUUUGCCUGCCUUUCUGAGGGCACCAAUCAAAAGUAACAGCUGCCACCUUUUUCUAUGAGACUUGAUUAUAAUUUUCUAUGGCCAAGGGUUUGCUGUGACACUUCCACAUCAUUCUUCAGUAUGUAGUCCAGAGAUUAGCUACAGAUUCAAGAAACACAGACUGUAAACUAUUAUAUACAGACAUAUCUCAAAAUAAGCAUACCCAUUAGUGCCAGCUGCCCUGAAAGACUGAAUGACCCCAGCUAUUUUCCAAAUGUUUUUUCAGAAAGCCAUGAACACACCUUUCUGGGAUCCUAUCUAUUUCAAAGACAGGCAAAGCUCUGUGGUUCAGUUCCACCACCCAGUACCAAGCCCACAGUAUGCAGACCAUACGCCUUACACAUGGCCUUUUCUCUUUAUGUAAUUGCUGUACCAUAUUCAGCAGAUCUAGACUGACUCAAAGCAUGUUCCCUCAAGAAGCUCCACAGAAAAAAAGGUUUCUGUGAUCAAAAAUCAUUUGGGAAAUGCUGCAAACCCUAUCUGCCUCUUAGAGCUUAACC